This 316-nucleotide unclassified non-coding RNA is filed under the name uncultured fungus. RNAcentral's name for it is "partial contains 5.8S ribosomal RNA and internal transcribed spacer 2". The stretch from base 1 to 133 matches the Rfam family "5.8S ribosomal RNA", at positions 22 to 154 of the family's 154-position model. Lineage: Eukaryota; Fungi. The record is from RNAcentral.
UGGUUCUGGCAUCGAUGAAGAACGCAGCGAAAUGCGAUAAGUAAUGUGAAUUGCAGAAUUCAGUGAAUCAUCGAAUCUUUGAACGCACAUUGCGCCCCGUGGUAUUCCGCGGGGCAUGCCUGUUCGAGCGUCAUUACCCACCUCCAGCUUGCUGGGUCUUGGGUCUCGCCUCCGGGCGGGCCUUAAAAUCAGUGGCGGCGCCACCCGGCUUUAAGCGUAGUACAUCAUCUCGCUACAAGGUCUGGGCGGUCCAGCUUGCCAUUUAAGCUUAAAUUAUCUUAGUAUUGACCUCGGAUCAGGUAGGGAUACCCGCUGA